ACGUGUGCCGGCAGCUGCAGCAACUAGGUAAUAACCGAUCAGAGGAUCGCCGAAAGCGGAGCCAGCAACAUCUGCUCCUGGGGCAAGGGUCCUCAUCCUUAUUGUGCACGCUUCCAGUGAAAGGAUCGCGCGGCACAUGACGACGCCAGCUGCCGUCGAUCCUUUGUCAGGAUAUUUUCGGUGUGUGGAUGUGUGGAACAAUCCAAUAAUGAGCCUACCGAACUGAGGUGUCCCGCGGAUCUUUUGCUGUCAAAUGAUGGAGCCUCAAAAAGGAUGGGAACACCAAGUGAACUCAUCAGUGAACUACUAUUUGAAGUAAGGAAUUUGAGAGGUUAUGACAUUACUCAAGUGACCUAAUUUCCUGUGAAACCAUCUAGUCACCGUUACUAGGUAUAGAUUAGACUUGCCAGUUGACAGUUGUUUUAAACAAAUAUCUCACGAAUGAAUGACGCAAAACAGAAUGCAGCGAGGAUAUAUGAAUUUCGUUCUAGUAAAAUAAGUGAGGUAAGCAACUGAUGCUAUAGGCAAAACCCCAUCAAUCAUAGGAACCUACGCAGCGCUGUAAAUGGAAAUGACAUUGAGCGGUAAUUAGAAAUUGGAAAAUUCUAGCUAGUAAACGCGUUCCACGAAUGGGUGGGUUUUGCAGCAUGGGGGUGGUGUUGAUUUCAUCAUGAAUGAAAUGCGAUGCGAAUGAGCUCAGCAUCGGCGGAGAUAAAAGGUACAAUCUUAGUUAAUAUCCAGGCAGAAACAUGUGCGACAGACAGAUUUCAUUCCAACCCAUCCCUCAAAAUGACAAGCUAGCACAAGAGCGAAUAAGAUAAGACGGGAUCCUGACAUAUGCCUAAGUAUGUAUGUACAUGUGUAUCUCGGCCUCCAGAUUGUUUUAGAAAUCACUAGAAAACGCCAGAGAGCGGAGAGCGAGAUAGGGAGAAAGGGGGAGAGAGAGAGAGUGAGAGAGGGAGGGAUAAUGGUCGUGUCCCUGUUUAUGUGGGGGU
Molecule: non-coding RNA, 995 nt
Organism: Drosophila melanogaster (fruit fly)
Lineage: Eukaryota; Metazoa; Arthropoda; Insecta; Diptera; Drosophilidae
Source: Ensembl